GCACUCAUUUCAGCAGCACGUAUACUAAUAUUGGAACAAUAUAGAAAAGACUAGCAUGGCCCCUGCGCAGCGUUAACAUACAAAUUCAUGAAGCAUUUCAUGUAUUU
This is a small nuclear RNA of Alexandromys fortis (reed vole), 107 nucleotides long. The record is from RefSeq and is a predicted model, not a curated record. NCBI's taxonomy places the organism in Eukaryota, Metazoa, Chordata, Mammalia, Rodentia, Cricetidae.